CUGCAGCCAAUUAAGCCGACCAACCCUACAGCGCCAGUGUGGGCUUGGUGUGCAAUGGUUGCAGACAUGAAUUCCCUGGUUGUGUGCGUACCUUGUUUUCCAUGCAAGGUAUUCUAAGGGACCUCGGAAACACUU
Molecule: small nucleolar RNA, 135 nt
Organism: Monodelphis domestica (gray short-tailed opossum)
Lineage: Eukaryota; Metazoa; Chordata; Mammalia; Didelphimorphia; Didelphidae
Gene: SNORA70
Rfam family: Small nucleolar RNA SNORA70
About the family: snoRNA U70 seems to be exclusive to mammals and is a member of the H/ACA class of snoRNA which contain H (ANANNA) and ACA box motifs. H/ACA box snoRNAs are involved in the conversion of uridines to pseudouridines (5-ribosyluracil) a constituent of structural RNAs (transfer, ribosomal, small nuclear, and small nucleolar).
Source: Ensembl